Molecule: ribosomal RNA, 515 nt
Filed under: uncultured bacterium
Lineage: Bacteria
Description: partial 16S ribosomal RNA
Rfam family: Bacterial small subunit ribosomal RNA
Source: RNAcentral
GAUGAACGCUGGCGGCGUGCCUAAUACAUGCAAGUCGAGCGAAUGGAUUAAGAGCUUGCUCUUAUGAAGUUAGCGGCGGACGGGUGAGUAACACGUGGGUAACCCGCCCAUAAGACUGGGAUAACUCCGGGAAACCGGGGCUAAUCCCGGAUAACAUUUUGAACCGCAUGGUUCGAAAUUGAAAGGCGGCUUCGGCUGUCACUUAUGGAUGGACCCGGGUCGCAUUAGCUAGUUGGUGAGGUAACGGCUCACCAAGGCAACGAUGCGUAGCCGACCUGAGAGGGUGAUCGGCCACACUGGGACUGAGACACGGCCCAGACUCCUACGGGAGGCAGCAGUAGGGAAUCUUCCGCAAUGGACGAAAGUCUGACGGAGCAACGCCGCGUGAGUGAUGAAGGCUUUCGGGUCGUAAAACUCUGUUGUUAGGGAAGAACAAGUGCUAGUUGAAUAAGCUGGCACCUUGACGGUACCUAACCAGAAAGCCACGGCUAACUACGUGCCAGCCGCCGCGGUAA